CCUACGGGAGGCAGCAGUGAGGAAUAUUGGUCAAUGGUCGGGAGACUGAACCAGCCAAGCCGCGUGAGGGAGGAAGGUACAGAGUAUCGUAAACCUCUUUUGUCAGGGAACAAAGACUGGGACGCGUCCCCGGAUGAGUGUACCUGAAGAAAAAGCAUCGGCUAACUCCGUGCCAGCAGCCGCGGUAAUACGGAGGAUGCGAGCGUUAUCCGGUUUUAUUGGGUUUAAAGGGUGCGCAGGCGGUCUGUUAAGUCAGCGGGCAAAGCCCGGGGCUCAACCCCGGCCCGCCGUUGAAACUGGCAGUCUCGAGUUGGAGAGAAGUAUGCGGAAUGCGCGGUGUAGCGGUGAAAUGCAUAGAUAUCGCGCAGAACUCCGAUUGCGAAGGCAGCAUGCCGGCUCCACACUGACGCUGAGGCACGAAAGCGUGGGUAUCGAACAGGAUUAGAUACCCUUGUAGUC
This 459-nucleotide ribosomal RNA is filed under the name uncultured bacterium. RNAcentral's name for it is "partial 16S ribosomal RNA". It matches the Rfam family "Bacterial small subunit ribosomal RNA", at positions 338 to 795 of the family's 1533-position model. The record is from RNAcentral.